This 666-nucleotide ribosomal RNA is filed under the name Hepatozoon canis. RNAcentral describes it as "SSU rRNA". It matches the Rfam family "Eukaryotic small subunit ribosomal RNA", at positions 167 to 821 of the family's 1831-position model. Lineage: Eukaryota; Apicomplexa; Hepatozoidae. The record is from RNAcentral.
AUACAUGAGCAAAAUCUCAACUUUAUUAGAAGAGACGCAUUUAUUAGAUAAAAAGCCAAUGCAUGCUUUUACAGUAUGGAAAUUGGUGAUUUAUAAUAACUUAGCAAAUCGCAAAGUGAAAACAGGCGAUAAAUCAUUCAAGUUUCUGACCUAUCAGCUUUCGACGGUAUGGUAUUGGCUUACCGUGGCAGUGACGGUUAACGGGGGAUUAGGGUUCGAUUCCGGAGAGGGAGCCUGAGAAACGGCUACCACAUCUAAGGAAGGCAGCAGGCGCGCAAAUUACCCAAUUCUAACAGUUUGAGAGAGGUAGUAACAAGAAAUAACAAUACAAGGCAAUUAAAAUGUUUUGUAAUUGGAAUGAUAGAAAUUUAAACCCUUUUUAAAGUAUCAAUUGGAGGGCAAGUCUGGUGCCAGCAGCCGCGGUAAUUCCAGCUCCAAUAGCGUAUAUUAAAAUUGUUGCAGUUAAAAAGCUCGUAGUUGAAGUUCUGCUAAAAGUAACCGGUCUGCUUUUAAUAAAAGUGGUAUCUUGGUGUGUAUUUAGCAAUGAUGUCCUUUGAAGUGUUUUUUACUUUAUUGUAAUAAAGCAUAUUCAGGACUUUUACUUUGAGAAAAUUAGAGUGUUUCUAGCAGGCCGACGCUUUGAAUACUGCAGCAUGGAAUAAUAAG